GGGGCGGUGACGCAGUUGGCUAGCGCGUAGGUCUCAUAAUCCUGAGGUCGAGAGUUCGAGCCUCUCUCGCCCCA
This 74-nucleotide transfer RNA is filed under the name Brassica napus (rape). RNAcentral describes it as "tRNA-Met (CAT) (tRNA-Met-CAT-10-1)". It matches the Rfam family "tRNA". Rfam says of the family: Transfer RNA (tRNA) molecules are approximately 80 nucleotides in length. Their secondary structure includes four short double-helical elements and three loops (D, anti-codon, and T loops). The record is from RNAcentral. Lineage: Eukaryota; Viridiplantae; Streptophyta; Magnoliopsida; Brassicales; Brassicaceae.